RNAcentral lists this ribosomal RNA (2991 nucleotides) under Salmonella enterica subsp. enterica serovar 4,[5],12:i:-. RNAcentral's name for it is "23S ribosomal RNA". It matches the Rfam family "Bacterial large subunit ribosomal RNA". Lineage: Bacteria; Pseudomonadati; Pseudomonadota; Gammaproteobacteria; Enterobacterales; Enterobacteriaceae. The record is from RNAcentral.
GGUUAAGCGACUAAGCGUACACGGUGGAUGCCCUGGCAGUCAGAGGCGAUGAAGGGCGUGCUAAUCUGCGAUAAGCGCCGGUAAGGUGAUAUGAACCGUUAUAACCGGCGAUACCCGAAUGGGGAAACCCAGUGUGAUUCGUCACACUAUCAUUAACUGAAUCCAUAGGUUAAUGAGGCGAACCGGGGGAACUGAAACAUCUAAGUACCCCGAGGAAAAGAAAUCAACCGAGAUUCCCCAGUAGCGGCGAGCGAACGGGGAGGAGCCCAGAGCCUGAAUCAGCAUGUGUGUUAGUGGAAGCGUCUGGAAAGGCGCGCGAUACAGGGUGACAGCCCCGUACACAAAAGCGCAUGUGCUGUGAGCUCGAUGAGUAGGGCGGGACACGUGGUAUCCUGUCUGAAUAUGGGGGGACCAUCCUCCAAGGCUAAAUACUCCUGACUGACCGAUAGUGAACCAGUACCGUGAGGGAAAGGCGAAAAGAACCCCGGCGAGGGGAGUGAAAAAGAACCUGAAACCGUGUACGUACAAGCAGUGGGAGCACAGGUUUACCUGUGUGACUGCGUACCUUUUGUAUAAUGGGUCAGCGACUUAUAUUCUGUAGCAAGGUUAACCGAAUAGGGGAGCCGGAGGGAAACCGAGUCUUAAUUGGGCGUUAAGUUGCAGGGUAUAGACCCGAAACCCGGUGAUCUAGCCAUGGGCAGGUUGAAGGUUGGGUAACACUAACUGGAGGACCGAACCGACUAAUGUUGAAAAAUUAGCGGAUGACCUGUGGCUGGGGGUGAAAGGCCAAUCAAACCGGGAGAUAGCUGGUUCUCCCCGAAAGCUAUUUAGGUAGCGCCUCGUGAAUUCAUCUCCGGGGGUAGAGCACUGUUUCGGCUAGGGGGCCAUCCCGGCUUACCAACCCGAUGCAAACUGCGAAUACCGGAGAAUGUUAUCACGGGAGACACACGGCGGGUGCUAACGUCCGUCGUGAAGAGGGAAACAACCCAGACCGCCAGCUAAGGUCCCAAAGUCAUGGUUAAGUGGGAAACGAUGUGGGAAGGCCCAGACAGCCAGGAUGUUGGCUUAGAAGCAGCCAUCAUUUAAAGAAAGCGUAAUAGCUCACUGGUCGAGUCGGCCUGCGCGGAAGAUGUAACGGGGCUAAACCAUGCACCGAAGCUGCGGCAGCGAACGUAUCACCCAAGACAACUUUACGGAGUUGACGAUUGACGGAGCGAAGCGACGUCAAAGCGUUCAUUAAAGUCGAGUUGGCUUAGGGAUACGUUCGUUGGGUAGGGGAGCGUUCUGUAAGCCUGUGAAGGUGUGUCGUGAGGCAUGCUGGAGGUAUCAGAAGUGCGAAUGCUGACAUAAGUAACGAUAAAGCGGGUGAAAAGCCCGCUCGCCGGAAGACCAAGGGUUCCUGUCCAACGUUAAUCGGGGCAGGGUGAGUCGACCCCUAAGGCGAGGCCGAAAGGCGUAGUCGAUGGGAAACGGGUUAAUAUUCCCGUACUUGGUGUUACUGCGAAGGGGGGACGGAGAAGGCUAUGUUGGCCGGGCGACGGUUGUCCCGGUUUAAGCGUGUAGGUGUGUGUUCCAGGUAAAUCCGGUUCACUUUAACACUGAGGCGUGACGACGAGGCACUACGGUGCUGAAGCAACAAAUGCCCUGCUUCCAGGAAAAGCCUCUAAGCAUCAGGUAACACGAAAUCGUACCCCAAACCGACACAGGUGGUCAGGUAGAGAAUACCAAGGCGCUUGAGAGAACUCGGGUGAAGGAACUAGGCAAAAUGGUGCCGUAACUUCGGGAGAAGGCACGCUGACACGUAGGUGAAGUGAUUUACUCAUGGAGCUGAAGUCAGUCGAAGAUACCAGCUGGCUGCAACUGUUUAUUAAAAACACAGCACUGUGCAAACACGAAAGUGGACGUAUACGGUGUGACGCCUGCCCGGUGCCGGAAGGUUAAUUGAUGGGGUCAGCGUAAGCGAAGCUCCUGAUCGAAGCCCCGGUAAACGGCGGCCGUAACUAUAACGGUCCUAAGGUAGCGAAAUUCCUUGUCGGGUAAGUUCCGACCUGCACGAAUGGCGUAAUGAUGGCCAGGCUGUCUCCACCCGAGACUCAGUGAAAUUGAACUCGCUGUGAAGAUGCAGUGUACCCGCGGCAAGACGGAAAGACCCCGUGAACCUUUACUAUAGCUUGACACUGAACAUUGAGCCUUGAUGUGUAGGAUAGGUGGGAGGCUUUGAAGUGUGGACGCCAGUCUGCAUGGAGCCGACCUUGAAAUACCACCCUUUAAUGUUUGAUGUUCUAACGUGGACCCGUAAUCCGGGUUGCGGACAGUGUCUGGUGGGUAGUUUGACUGGGGCGGUCUCCUCCUAAAGAGUAACGGAGGAGCACGAAGGUUGGCUAAUCCUGGUCGGACAUCAGGAGGUUAGUGCAAUGGCAUAAGCCAGCUUGACUGCGAGCGUGACGGCGCGAGCAGGUGCGAAAGCAGGUCAUAGUGAUCCGGUGGUUCUGAAUGGAAGGGCCAUCGCUCAACGGAUAAAAGGUACUCCGGGGAUAACAGGCUGAUACCGCCCAAGAGUUCAUAUCGACGGCGGUGUUUGGCACCUCGAUGUCGGCUCAUCACAUCCUGGGGCUGAAGUAGGUCCCAAGGGUAUGGCUGUUCGCCAUUUAAAGUGGUACGCGAGCUGGGUUUAGAACGUCGUGAGACAGUUCGGUCCCUAUCUGCCGUGGGCGCUGGAGAACUGAGGGGGGCUGCUCCUAGUACGAGAGGACCGGAGUGGACGCAUCACUGGUGUUCGGGUUGUCAUGCCAAUGGCACUGCCCGGUAGCUAAAUGCGGAAGAGAUAAGUGCUGAAAGCAUCUAAGCACGAAACUUGCCCCGAGAUGAGUUCUCCCUGAGACUUAGAGUCUCCUGAAGGAACGUUGAAGACGACGACGUUGAUAGGCCGGGUGUGUAAGCGCAGCGAUGCGUUGAGCUAACCGGUACUAAUGAACCGUGAGGCUUAACCUU